AAAUUGAAGAGUUUGAUCAUGGCUCAGAUUGAACGCUGGCGGCAGGCCUAACACAUGCAAGUCGAACGGUAACAGGAAGCAGCUUGCUGCUUUGCUGACGAGUGGCGGACGGGUGAGUAAUGUCUGGGAAACUGCCUGAUGGAGGGGGAUAACUACUGGAAACGGUGGCUAAUACCGCAUAACGUCGCAAGACCAAAGAGGGGGACCUUCGGGCCUCUUGCCAUCAGAUGUGCCCAGAUGGGAUUAGCUAGUUGGUGAGGUAACGGCUCACCAAGGCGACGAUCCCUAGCUGGUCUGAGAGGAUGACCAGCCACACUGGAACUGAGACACGGUCCAGACUCCUACGGGAGGCAGCAGUGGGGAAUAUUGCACAAUGGGCGCAAGCCUGAUGCAGCCAUGCCGCGUGUAUGAAGAAGGCCUUCGGGUUGUAAAGUACUUUCAGCGGGGAGGAAGGUGUUGUGGUUAAUAACCGCAGCAAUUGACGUUACCCGCAGAAGAAGCACCGGCUAACUCCGUGCCAGCAGCC
RNAcentral lists this ribosomal RNA (526 nucleotides) under Salmonella enterica. Its description in RNAcentral is "bacterial SSU rRNA". It matches the Rfam family "Bacterial small subunit ribosomal RNA", at positions 1 to 516 of the family's 1533-position model. Lineage: Bacteria; Pseudomonadati; Pseudomonadota; Gammaproteobacteria; Enterobacterales; Enterobacteriaceae. The record is from RNAcentral.